AUUGAACGCUGGCGGCAUGCCUUACACAUGCAAGUCGAACGGCAGCACGAGUGCUUGCACCUGGUGGCGAGUGGCGAACGGGUGAGUAAUACAUCGGAACGUACCUUAUCGUGGGGGAUAACGCAGCGAAAGCUGUGCUAAUACCGCAUACGCCCUGAGGGGGAAAGCGGGGGAUCGAAAGACCUCGCGCGAUUAGAGCGGCCGAUGCCUGAUUAGCUUGUUGGUGGGGUAAAAGCCCACCAAGGCGAUGAUCAGUAGCUGGUCUGAGAGGACGAGCAGCCACACUGGGACUGAGACACGGCCCAGACUCCUACGGGAGGCAGCAGUGGGGAAUUUUGGACAAUGGGGGCAACCCUGAUCCAGCAAUGCCGCGUGAGUGAAGAAGGUCUUCGGGUUGUAAAGCUCUUUUGUCAGGGAAGAAACACCGGCUCUAACACAGUCCGGGAAUGACGGUACCUGAAGAAUAAGCACCGGCUAACUACGUGCCAGCCGCCGCCGUAA
Molecule: ribosomal RNA, 501 nt
Filed under: uncultured bacterium
Lineage: Bacteria
Description: partial 16S ribosomal RNA
Rfam family: Bacterial small subunit ribosomal RNA
Source: RNAcentral